CGGCGGUUUGGGAAGAGCCCGCGUAAGAUUAGCUAGUUGGUGAGGUAAUGGCUCACCAAGGCGACGAUCUUUAACUGGUUUGAGAGGAUGAUCAGUCACACUGGAACUGAGACACGGUCCAGACUCCUACGGGAGGCAGCAGUAAGGAAUUUCCACAAUGGGCGAAAGCCUGAUGGAGCAACGCCGCGUGCAGGAUGAAGGCCCUAGGGUUGUAAACUGCUUUUAUAUGUGACGAAUAUGACGGUAGCAUAUGAAUAAGGAUCGGCUAACUCCGUG
Molecule: ribosomal RNA, 276 nt
Filed under: uncultured bacterium
Lineage: Bacteria
Description: partial 16S ribosomal RNA
Rfam family: Bacterial small subunit ribosomal RNA
Source: RNAcentral